This 815-nucleotide long non-coding RNA is filed under the name Phoenix dactylifera (date palm). RNAcentral describes it as "long non-coding RNA (PDAC_LNC011644)". The record is from RNAcentral. Lineage: Eukaryota; Viridiplantae; Streptophyta; Magnoliopsida; Arecales; Arecaceae.
AAAAAGAAUAAUUACAAAAGAAAUAAAAUGAAGUUUGGAAGCCUAGUGCCUCCUCCUUCUACAAAAUAAAACAUAAAAAAACAAAGGAAGGAAUAAAAGAAAUUAGAAAACUCCUCUUUCUCCCCUCUCUAUUUUUUUAUUCUUUCUUUCAAACCAAAACAGAGCAUUUCUCUUUUUUUUUCUUUCUCUCUUCUUUCCCAAACCGAACACAUCCUCUGUUUUUCUUUUGAACAUGGCUUCCCCUCUUCCAAACCAAACCGGGAACCUCUCCAGCCGAGCUCUCCCCUCCCUCUCUACUUCUCCUCCCCUCUUAUAGAUCGCCCAUGGAAUGGAAGGCAGCGAUGGAUCCCGGGAGAGGAGGAGGGCGCGGUCUUCGGCCAUGUGCGGGAUCACCUCACUCGGCUGCAUCACGGCGGAAGCAGAGGCGGAGGAGGCUGGAUCGGCUCUGGAAGAGACGUGGACGGCUGGGUGGAUCGCGGAGGAGGCUGGAUCGGUGGAGCUAGCUGCGGGAUUACGCACGGAGGGAGGUAACGGACGCGGGAUCGCUGGGAGGAGGCGAUCGUCCGGGUUGCUUGGAUCACGGACGGAAGGAGCCGGAUUUUCUUCUUUGGGCCACGGAGGGAUGGGAUGCAGAAGAGGUGGUCAUCCGGGAUGCUGAAAUGGAAGAAUUUGGCUGGGAUGCUUGCAGUCGGAAGGAGUGGAUCACGGGAUGGUGGGGACCGUUGCUCUCCCUGUUUUCGCACGGGAUGCUUGCAGUCGGACGCUGGGAUGCUGGUUUCCUCCUUCACGGGUGGCUGGGAUGGAUCGCGGAAGGA